AGCGAACGCUGGCGGCAGGCCUAACACAUGCAAGUCGAACGAACUCUUCGGAGUUAGUGGCGGACGGGUGAGUAACACGUGGGAACGUGCCUUUUGGUUCGGAAUAACUCAGGGAAACUUGUGCUAAUACCGAAUGUGCCCUUCGGGGGAAAGAUUUAUCGCCAUUAGAGCGGCCCGCGUCUGAUUAGCUAGUUGGUGAGGUAACGGCUCACCAAGGCGACGAUCAGUAGCUGGUCUGAGAGGAUGACCAGCCACACUGGGACUGAGACACGGCCCAGACUCCUACGGGAGGCAGCAGUGGGGAAUCUUGCGCAAUGGGCGAAAGCCUGACGCAGCCAUGCCGCGUGAAUGAUGAAGGUCUUAGGAUUGUAAAAUUCUUUCACCGGGGACGAUAAUGACGGUACCCGGAGAAGAAGCCCCGGCUGACUUCGUG
Molecule: ribosomal RNA, 433 nt
Filed under: uncultured bacterium
Lineage: Bacteria
Description: partial 16S ribosomal RNA
Rfam family: Bacterial small subunit ribosomal RNA
Source: RNAcentral